CCUACGGGAGGCUGCAGUGGGGGAUAUUGGACAAUGGGGGAAACCCUGAUCCAGCGACGCCGCGUGAGUGAAGAAGUAUUUCGGUAUGUAAAGCUCUAUCAGCAGGGAAGAAAGAAAUGACGGUACCUGAGUAAUAAGCCCCGGCUAACUACGUGCCAGCAGCCGCGGUAAUACGUAGGGGGCAAGCGUUAUCCGGAAUUACUGGGUGUAAAGGGAGCGUAGACGGUAAUGCAAGUCUGGAGUGAAAGGCGGGGGCCCACCCCCCGGACUGCUCUGGAAACUGUGUAACUGGAGUGCGGGAGAGGCAGGCGGAAUUCCUAGUGUAGCGGUGAAAUGCGUAGAUAUUAGGAGGAACACCAGUGGCGAAGGCGGCCUGCUGGACUGUAACUGACGUUGAGGCUCGAAAGCGUGGGGAGCAAACGGGAUUAGAUACCCUUGUAGUC
RNAcentral lists this ribosomal RNA (443 nucleotides) under uncultured bacterium. RNAcentral describes it as "partial 16S ribosomal RNA". It matches the Rfam family "Bacterial small subunit ribosomal RNA", at positions 338 to 795 of the family's 1533-position model. The record is from RNAcentral.